UUUAAGUAAUAAAAUUUAUUAUAUUUAAUUUCGACUUAAAAUUUAGCUUUUUAGCUCUUAUUAAUU
This 66-nucleotide transfer RNA is filed under the name Pselaphanus sp. QL-2013. Its description in RNAcentral is "tRNA-Arg". The record is from RNAcentral. Lineage: Eukaryota; Metazoa; Arthropoda; Insecta; Hymenoptera; Braconidae.